GUAGGUAGCUAGAGUAAAGGGGAAGGAAAUAUAUACACACUUAGUAAUAUUGGAUCCGGUGUCUCCUUUAUCUGGCAGGCUGGUGUGUGCUGGGAAUGGGCUGGUACUGCAGGUUCUGUGUGAGGGAAUUGGGCUGGGUGCUGGUACUGCAGGUUCUGUGUGAGGGAAUUGGGCCGGGUGCUGGGAAUGGGCUGGUACUGCAGGUUCUGUGUGAGGGAAUUGGGCCGUGUGCUGGGAAUGGGCUGAUACUGCAGGUUCUGUGUGAGGGAAUUGGGCUGGGUGCUGGUACUGCAGGUUCUGUGUGAGGGAAUUGGGCUGGGUGCUGGUACUGCAGGUUCUGUGUGAGGGAAUUGGGCCGGGUGCUGGGAAUGGGCUGGUACUGCAGGUUCUGUGUGAGGGAAUUGGGCCGGGUGCUGGGAAUGGGCUGGUACUGCAGGUUCUGUGUGAGGGAAUUGGGCCGGGUGCUGGGAAUGGGCUGGUACUGCAGGUUCUGUGUGAGGGAAUUGGGCUGGGUGCUGGUACUGCAGGUUCUGUGUGAGGGAAUUGGGCUGGGUGCUGGGAAUGGGCUGGUACUGCAGGUUCUGUGUGAGGGAAUUGGGCUGGGUGCUGGUACUGCAGGUUCUGUGUGAGGGAAUUGGGCCAGGUGCUGGGAAUGGGCUGGUACUGCAGGUUCUGUGUGAGGGAAUUGGGCCGGGUGCUGGGAAUGGGCUGGUACUGCAGGUUCUGGGUGAGGGAAUUGGGCCGGGUGCUGGGAAUGGGCUGGUACUGCAGGUUCUGUGUGAGGGAAUUGGGCUGGGUGCUGGGAAUGGGCUGGUACUGCAGGUUCUGUGUGAGGGAAUUGGGCCGGGUGCUGGGAAUGGGCUGGUACUGCAGGUUCUGUGUGAGGGAAUUGGGCUGGGUGCUGGUACUGCAGGUUCUGUGUGAGGGAAUUGGGCUGGGUGCUGGGAAUGGGCUGGUACUGCAGGUUCUGUGGGAGGGAAUUGGGCCGGGUGCUGGGAAUGGGCUGGUACUGCAGGUUCUGUGUGAGGGAAUUGGGCUGGGUGCUGGUACUGCAGGUUCUGUGUGAGGGAAUUGGGCCGGUGCUGGUACUGUGCUGCCGCUCUGGGUAGGAGGGAAUAAUGGCUCCCAGAACAAGGGCCACUUUGUGCCGCCCCCCCCCCCCCCCCGCCUGUGCCAGUUCCCAGGGGGAUAACGGGGCUUCUUGUUCUCUGGCUUCUUCCUGGGAAUCACUGAUUAUUAUUGUGCCCCCCCGGCUGGAGCGUAAGCAGGCUGGCACUGUGCUGGUGUUCUGUGCUACCUGUGCUCUCGGUGCUGAGUGUUAUAUUUGGGUCUCGGUGCCGAGUGUUAUAUUUGGGUCUCGGUGCUGAGUGUUAUAGUUGGGUCUCGGUGCUGAGUGUUAUAUUUGGGUCUCGGUGCUGAGUGUUAUAGUUGGGUCUCGGUGCUGAGUGUUAUAUUUGGGUCUCGGUGCCGAGUGUUAUAUUUGGGUCUCGGUGCUGAGUGUUAUAGUUGGGUCUCGGUGCUGAGUGUUAUAUUUGGGUCUCGGUGCUGAGUGUUAUAGUUGGGUCUCGGUGCUGAGUGUUAUAGUUGGGUCUCGGUGCUGAGGGUUAUAGUUGGGUCUCGGUGCUGAGUGUUAUAUUUGGGUCUCGGUGCUGAGGGUUAUAGUUGGGUCUCGGUGCCGAGGGUUAAAGUUGGGUCUCGGUGCCGAGGGUUAUAGUUGGGUCUUGGUGCCGAGGGUUAUAGUUGGGUCUCGGUGCCGAGGGUUAUAGUCGGGUCUCGGUGCCGAGGGUUAUAGUCGGGUCUCGGUGCCGAGGGUUAUAGUCGGGUCUCGGUGCCGAGGGUUAUAGUCGGGUCUCGGUGCCGAGGGUUAUAGUCGGGUCUCGGUGCCGAGGGUUAUAGUCGGGUCUCGGUGCCGAGGGUUAUAGUCGGGUCUCGGUGCCGAGGGUUAUAGUUGGGUCUCGGUGCCGAGGGUUAUAGUCGGGUCUCGGUGCCGAGGGUUAUAGUCGGGUCUCGGUGCCGAGGGUUAUAGUCGGGUCUCGGUGCCGAGGGUUAUAGUCGGGUCUCGGUGCUGCAGAUUUGCCAGUAAAACCGUUGCGCGCGCACACACAUUUACACACAUUGUGGCACCAGUAGUUUUGUUGUACAGUUUAUGGGGGACUCUGGGAGUUGUAGUUCACAUGUAUAAUAGUGCUGCCUGUAUGGGCAGGAAUAUCCAUUCCUUAACUGGCUGCA
This is an RNA transcript of Xenopus tropicalis (tropical clawed frog), 2229 nucleotides long. It is a transcript of the gene named glycine-rich cell wall structural protein-like, with no coding region annotated. The transcript has 3 exons. The record is from RefSeq and is a predicted model, not a curated record. NCBI's taxonomy places the organism in Eukaryota, Metazoa, Chordata, Amphibia, Anura, Pipidae.